AUUCCAGCUCCAAUAGUGUAUAUUAAAGUUGUUGCAGUUAAAAAGCUCGUAGUUGGAUUUCUGGCGGGAGCGAUCGGUCCUUCACUCAGUGUUGGAACCUGAUUGUCUCCUGCCAUCCAUGGAGAAAACUUAUCUGGCAUUAAGUUGUCGGGUAGGCAAUCUCCAUCUUUUACUGUGAAAAAAUUAGAGUGUUCAAAGCAGGCUUAUGCCGUUGAAUAUAUUAGCAUGGAAUAAUCAGAUAGGACUUUGGCGUCUAUUUUGUUGGUUUGCACACCAAGGUAAUGAUUAAUAGGGAUAGUUGGGGGUAUUCGUAUUUAAUUGUCAGAGGUGAAAUUCUUGGAUUUAUGAAAGACGAACUUCUGCGAAAGCAUUUACCAAAGAUGUUUUCAUUA
This 392-nucleotide ribosomal RNA is filed under the name Rhizosolenia sp. RNAcentral's name for it is "partial small subunit ribosomal RNA". It matches the Rfam family "Eukaryotic small subunit ribosomal RNA", at positions 582 to 975 of the family's 1831-position model. Lineage: Eukaryota; Bacillariophyta; Coscinodiscophyceae; Rhizosoleniales; Rhizosoleniaceae. The record is from RNAcentral.